AUAAAUAGAUGGUCAGGAAAUGAUCAAUGCAUGAAAAGAAUAUGUUAUAAACCCAAUUCCUUUUUUCUACCAUCCGAAGAAAGUUGAUGGUCAGAAAAUGGACAAUGCAGGAAAAGAAUAUGUCAUAAACCCAAUUCCUUUUUUCUACCAUCCGUAGAAAGUUGAUGGUCAGGAAAUGGACAAUGCAGGAAAAGAAUAUGUUAUAAACCCAAUUCCUUUUUUCUACCAUACGAAGAAAGUUGAUGGUCAGGAAAUGGACAAUGCAGGAAAAGAAUAUGUCAUAAACCCAAUUCCUUUUUUUUACCAUCCGAAGAAAGUUGGCAAGUUUCAGUAACAUGUAGAAAUGGAUAAAUCUUUUGUUACAAAUUGAAAUUUUUAUCGGUCUAUAAUUCUUUUAUUUUAUC
Molecule: long non-coding RNA, 404 nt
Organism: Hibiscus syriacus
Lineage: Eukaryota; Viridiplantae; Streptophyta; Magnoliopsida; Malvales; Malvaceae
Exons: 4
Source: RefSeq, a predicted model, not a curated record